Molecule: ribosomal RNA, 356 nt
Filed under: uncultured bacterium
Lineage: Bacteria
Description: bacterial SSU rRNA
Rfam family: Bacterial small subunit ribosomal RNA
Source: RNAcentral
UCAGGCCUAACACAUGCAAGUCGAGCGGGGUUUUCGGACCUAGCGGCGGACGGGUGAGUAAUGCGUAGGAAGCUACCCGACAGAGGGGGAUACCAGUUGGAAACGACUGUUAAUACCGCAUAAUGUCUACGGACCAAAGUGUGGGACCUUCGGGCCACAUGCUGUCGGAUGCGCCUACGUGGGAUUAGCUAGUUGGUGAGGUAAUGGCUCACCAAGGCGACGAUCCCUAGCUGGUUUGAGAGGAUGAUCAGCCACACUGGAACUGAGACACGGUCCAGACUCCUACGGGAGGCAGCAGUGGGGAAUAUUGGACAAUGGGCGCAAGCCUGAUCCAAGAAGGCCGCGUGUGUGAAGAA